UUUUAUUUGAGAGUUUGAUCCUGGCUCAGGAUGAACGCUGGCGGCGUGCCUAACACAUGCAAGUUGAGCGAUUUACUUCGGUAAAGAGCGGCGGACGGGUGAGUAACGCGUGGGUAACCUACCCUGUACACACGGAUAACAUACCGAAAGGUAUGCUAAUACGGGAUAAUAUAUUUGAGAGGCAUCUCUUAAAUAUCAAAGGUGAGCCAGUACAGGAUGGCCCCGCGUCUGAUUAGCUAGUUGGUAAGGUAACGGCUUACCAAGGCGACGAUCAGUAGCCGCCCUGAGAGGGUGAUCGGCCACAUUGGAACUGAGACACGGUCCAACCUCCUACGGGAGGCAGCAGUGGGGAAUAUUGCACAAUGGGCGAAAGCCUGAUGCAGCACCGCCGCGUGAGUGAUGAAGGCCUUCGGGUCGUAAAACUCUGUCCUCAAGGAAGAUAAUGACGGUACUUG
RNAcentral lists this ribosomal RNA (455 nucleotides) under Clostridioides difficile. RNAcentral describes it as "bacterial SSU rRNA". It matches the Rfam family "Bacterial small subunit ribosomal RNA", at positions 1 to 481 of the family's 1533-position model. The record is from RNAcentral. Lineage: Bacteria; Bacillati; Bacillota; Clostridia; Peptostreptococcales; Peptostreptococcaceae.